Molecule: ribosomal RNA, 496 nt
Filed under: uncultured bacterium
Lineage: Bacteria
Description: partial 16S ribosomal RNA
Rfam family: Bacterial small subunit ribosomal RNA
Source: RNAcentral
AUUGAACGCUGGCGGAAUGCUUUACACAUGCAAGUCGAACGGUAGAGGGGGCAACCCCUCGAGAGUGGCGAACGGGUGAGUAAUAUAUCGGAACGUGCCCAGUCGUGGGGGAUAACGUAGCGAAAGUUACGCUAAUACCGCAUACGAUCUAAGGAUGAAAGCGGGGGAUCGCAAGACCUCGCGCGAUUGGAGCGGCCGAAAUCAGAUUAGGUAGGUGGUGGGGUAAAGGCUCACCAAGCCAACGAUCUGUAGCUGGUCUGAGAGGACGACCAGACACACUGGAACUGAGACACGGUCCAGACUCCUACGGGAGGCAGCAGUGGGGAAUUUUGGACGAUGGACGCAAGUCUGAUCCAGCCAUUCCGCGUGCAGGAUGAAGGCCCUCGGGUUGUAAACUGCUUUUGUACGGAGCGAAAAGGUCUCUCUUAAUACGGGGGGCUCAUGACGGUACCGUAAGAAUAAGCACCGGCUAACUACGUGCCAGCCGCCGCCGUAA